Molecule: ribosomal RNA, 484 nt
Filed under: uncultured bacterium
Lineage: Bacteria
Description: partial 16S ribosomal RNA
Rfam family: Bacterial small subunit ribosomal RNA
Source: RNAcentral
AUUGAACGCUGGCGGCAUGCUUUACACAUGCAAGUCGAACGGCAGCACGGGCUUCGGCCUGGUGGCGAGUGGCGAACGGGUGAGUAAUAUAUCGGAACGUACCCAGAAGUGGGGGAUAACGUAGCGAAAGUUACGCUAAUACCGCAUACGAUCUAUGGAUGAAAGCAGGGGACCGCAAGGCCUUGUGCUCCUGGAGCGGCCGAUAUCUGAUUAGCUAGUUGGUGAGGUAAAGGCUCACCAAGGCGACGAUCAGUAGCUGGUCUGAGAGGACGACCAGCCACACUGGAACUGAGACACGGUCCAGACUCCUACGGGAGGCAGCAGUGGGGAAUUUUGGACAAUGGGCGCAAGCCUGAUCCAGCAAUGCCGCGUGAGUGAAGAAGGCCUUCGGAUUGUAAAGCUCUUUUGUCAGGGAAGAAACGGUAGAGGCUAAUAUCCUUUGCUAAUGACGGUACCUGAAGAAUAAGCACCGGCUAACUACGUG